UCUUCGGAAGAUCUGGCAAAUGACUGAGCGGCGGACGGGUGAGUAACGCGUGGAUAACCUGCCUCACACUGGGGGAUAACAGUUGGAAACGACUGCUAAUACCGCAUAAGCCCACGGGUCGGCAUCGACCUGAGGGAAAAGGAGCAAUCCGCUUUGAGAUGGCCUCGCGUCCGAUUAGCUAGUUGGCAGGGUAACGGCCUACCAAGGCGACGAUCAGUAGCCGACCUGAGAGGGUGACCGGCCACAUUGGGACUGAGAUACGGCCCAGACUCC
Molecule: ribosomal RNA, 273 nt
Filed under: uncultured Eubacteriales bacterium
Lineage: Bacteria; Bacillati; Bacillota; Clostridia; Eubacteriales
Description: uncultured Clostridiales bacterium partial 16S ribosomal RNA
Rfam family: Bacterial small subunit ribosomal RNA
Source: RNAcentral